GACGAACGCUGGCGGCGUGCUUAACACAUGCAAGUCGAACGGAAAGGCCCUGCUUUUGUGGGGUGCUCGAGUGGCGAACGGGUGAGUAACACGUGAGUAACCUGCCCUUGUCUUUGGGAUAACUUCAGGAAACUGGGGCUAAUACCGGAUAUGAGCUCCUGCUGCAUGGUGGUGGUUGGAAAGUUUCGGCGGUUGGGGAUGGACUCGCGGCUUAUCAGCUUGUUGGUGGGGUAGUGGCUUACCAAGGCUUUGACGGGUAGCCGGCCUGAGAGGGUGACCGGCCACAUUGGGACUGAGAUAGGGCCCAGACUGCUACGGGAGGCAGCAGUGGGGAAUAUUGCACAAUGGGCGGAAGCCGGAUGCAGCAACGCCGGGUGCGGGAUGACGGCUUGCGGGUUGUAAACCGCUUUCGCCUGUGACGAAGCGUGAGUGACGGUAAUGGGUAAAGAAGCAACGGCUAACUACGUG
RNAcentral lists this ribosomal RNA (468 nucleotides) under uncultured bacterium. RNAcentral describes it as "partial 16S ribosomal RNA". It matches the Rfam family "Bacterial small subunit ribosomal RNA", at positions 28 to 507 of the family's 1533-position model. The record is from RNAcentral.